RNAcentral lists this ribosomal RNA (502 nucleotides) under uncultured bacterium. RNAcentral's name for it is "bacterial SSU rRNA". It matches the Rfam family "Bacterial small subunit ribosomal RNA", at positions 434 to 940 of the family's 1533-position model. The record is from RNAcentral.
UUUGUCGGGGAAGAAUAGGCAGGAUGCGUCCUGUUGUGACGGUACCCGAUGAAUAAGCCACGGCUAACUACGUGCCAGCAGCCGCGGUAAUACGUAGGUGGCAAGCGUUGUCCGGAUUUAUUGGGUUUAAAGGGUGCGUAGGUGGUUUAUUAAGUCAGUGGUGAAAGCUGGUUGCUCAACAAUCAAGUUGCCAUUGAUACUGAUAGACUUGAGAGAAGUGGAGGUUCAUGGAAUGGAUGGUGUAGCGGUGAAAUGCAUAGAUAUCAUCCAGAACGUCGAUUGCGAAGGCAGUGGGCUGUACUUUUUCUGACACUGAGGCACGAAAAGCGUGGGGAUCAAACAGGAUUAGAUACCCUGGUAGUCCACGCUGUAAACGAUGCGAACUAGCUUUUUGGUUAGGAUUAGGAGGCUAAGGGAAACCGAUAAGUUCGCCACCUGGGGAGUACGCCGGCAACGGUGAACUCAAGAAUGACGGGGGGUCCGGCACCAAGCGGUGGAGCGA